This 252-nucleotide ribosomal RNA is filed under the name uncultured bacterium. RNAcentral describes it as "partial 16S ribosomal RNA". It matches the Rfam family "Bacterial small subunit ribosomal RNA", at positions 524 to 776 of the family's 1533-position model. The record is from RNAcentral.
GACGAAGGAUGCAAGCGUUAUCCGGAUUCAUUGGGUUUAAAGGGAGCGUAGGUGGCCUUAUAAGUCAGUGGUGAAAUCUCUGGGCUUAACCCAGAAAUUGCCAUUGAUACUGUAGGGCUUGAGUAUAGUUCCGUUGGCGGAAUAUGACAUGUAGUGGUGAAAUACAUAGAGAUGUCAUAGAACACCGAUUGCGAAGGCAGCUGACGAAACUAUAACUGACACUGAGGCUCGAAAGUGUGGGGAUCAAACAGG